This 434-nucleotide ribosomal RNA is filed under the name uncultured bacterium. RNAcentral describes it as "bacterial SSU rRNA". It matches the Rfam family "Bacterial small subunit ribosomal RNA", at positions 28 to 459 of the family's 1533-position model. The record is from RNAcentral.
GACGAACGCUGGCGGCGUGCCUAACACAUGCAAGUCAACUUGACGGAAGGAGCAAUCUGACCGUAGAGUGGCGCAAGGGUGCGUAACGCGUAAGUAACUUGCCCCAAGGUAAGGAAUAACGUCGAGAAAUCGGCGCUAAUACCUCAUAAUGCAGCGGAUCCGCAUGGAUAUGUUGUUAAAGGUUUACCGCCUUGGGAUAGGCUUGCGUCUGAUUAGCUAGUUGGUGUGGUAACGGCACACCAAGGCUACGAUCAAAAGUACUGGUCUGAGAGGAUGAUCAGUCACACUGGAACUGAGACACGGUCCAGACUCCUACGGGAGGCAGCAGUGAGGAAUAUUGGGCAAUGCUCGAAAGAGUGACCCAGCAACGCCGCGUGGAGGAUGAAGGUAUUCUAUAUCGUAAACUCCUGUGAGAGCAGACGAAAGACAGAUUA